This 253-nucleotide ribosomal RNA is filed under the name uncultured bacterium. Its description in RNAcentral is "partial 16S ribosomal RNA". It matches the Rfam family "Bacterial small subunit ribosomal RNA", at positions 524 to 776 of the family's 1533-position model. The record is from RNAcentral.
UACGAAGGGGGCUAGCGUUGCUCGGAAUCACUGGGCGUAAAGCGCACGUAGGCGGAUCUUUAAGUCAGGGGUGAAAUCCUGGAGCUCAACUCCAGAACUGCCUUUGAUACUGAAGAUCUUGAGUGCGGGAGAGGUGAGUGGAACUGCGAGUGUAGAGGUGAAAUUCGUAGAUAUUCGCAAGAACACCAGUGGCGAAGGCGGCUCACUGGCCCGAUGCUGACGCUGAGGCACGAAAGCGUGGGGAGCAAACAGG